Astyanax mexicanus (Mexican tetra) is the source of this 207-nucleotide long non-coding RNA. RefSeq lists it as uncharacterized. The record is from RefSeq and is a predicted model, not a curated record. The transcript has 3 exons. NCBI's taxonomy places the organism in Eukaryota, Metazoa, Chordata, Actinopteri, Characiformes, Acestrorhamphidae.
GGAGAAGAUCGACGUCAGCUCGUUCGCCGUGGGAAGCUGCAGUUGCAUGUGUUUCUGGUCAAGAGAGAAGGAGGCUGAUAACCUGCAUGUAUAUGAGAGAGAGAGCAGCGUGUAUGUUCACUGCAGAGCUGUAUGUUCAAUCCAGAGCUUUAUGAGCUUAUUUAUCUGUUUAUACAGACCAGCAAAAUUAAAGCAUCCAAACCAGCA